Molecule: ribosomal RNA, 433 nt
Filed under: uncultured bacterium
Lineage: Bacteria
Description: partial 16S ribosomal RNA
Rfam family: Bacterial small subunit ribosomal RNA
Source: RNAcentral
AACGAACGCUGGCGGCAUGCCUAACACAUGCAAGUCGAACGAGACCUUCGGGUCUAGUGGCGCACGGGUGCGUAACGCGUGGGAACCUGCCCUUAGGUUCGGAAUAACUCCCCGAAAUGGGUGCUAAUACCGGAUAAUGUCUUCGGACCAAAGAUUUAUCGCCUUUGGAUGGGCCCGCGUUGGAUUAGCUAGUUGGUAGGGUAAAAGCCUACCAAGGCGACGAUCCAUAGCUGGUCUGAGAGGAUGAUCAGCCACACUGGGACUGAGACACGGCCCAGACUCCUACGGGAGGCAGCAGUGGGGAAUAUUGGACAAUGGGCGAAAGCCUGAUCCAGCAAUGCCGCGUGAGUGAUGAAGGCCUUAGGGUUGUAAAGCUCUUUUACCCGGGAUGAUAAUGACAGUACCGGGAGAAUAAGCUCCGGCUAACUCCGUG